Molecule: transfer RNA, 78 nt
Filed under: Fusobacterium sp.
Lineage: Bacteria; Fusobacteriati; Fusobacteriota; Fusobacteriia; Fusobacteriales; Fusobacteriaceae
Also listed under: 3 other names
Description: tRNA-Asp
Rfam family: tRNA
About the family: Transfer RNA (tRNA) molecules are approximately 80 nucleotides in length.
Source: RNAcentral
GGGGGCGUAGCUCAGUUUGGUUAGAGCACCAGCCUGUCACGUUGGGGGUCGCGAGUUCGAUUCUCGUCGCUCCCGCCA